AGGAGGAACAACCGCAGUGGCGGCGGCAGCUCUGCAGCCCUGGAGUCAGCCCCCGCAGUAGCUCCGGAGCUCUCCGUCUGCAGGGCCUGGAGGCUCCGGGGCGGG
RNAcentral lists this microRNA precursor (105 nucleotides) under Canis lupus dingo (dingo). RNAcentral describes it as "mir-8834 microRNA precursor family". It matches the Rfam family "mir-8834 microRNA precursor family". Lineage: Eukaryota; Metazoa; Chordata; Mammalia; Carnivora; Canidae. The record is from Rfam by way of RNAcentral.